ACCUUCGUGGUGUAGCGGUCAGCACGCUCGACGCGUAACCGAGAGGUCCGUGGUUCGAUUCCCGGCGAAGGUA
Molecule: transfer RNA, 73 nt
Filed under: Stegodyphus mimosarum
Lineage: Eukaryota; Metazoa; Arthropoda; Arachnida; Araneae; Eresidae
Rfam family: tRNA
About the family: Transfer RNA (tRNA) molecules are approximately 80 nucleotides in length.
Source: Rfam by way of RNAcentral